Molecule: transfer RNA, 85 nt
Filed under: Felis catus (domestic cat)
Lineage: Eukaryota; Metazoa; Chordata; Mammalia; Carnivora; Felidae
Rfam family: tRNA
About the family: Transfer RNA (tRNA) molecules are approximately 80 nucleotides in length.
Source: Rfam by way of RNAcentral
GCCUGGGGGGCUCAGUCGGUUGAGCGUCUGACUUCGGCUCAGGUCAUGAUCUCACGGCUCGUGGGUUCGAGCCCCGUGUCGGGCU